RNAcentral lists this non-coding RNA (32 nucleotides) under Rattus norvegicus (Norway rat). The record is from RNAcentral. Lineage: Eukaryota; Metazoa; Chordata; Mammalia; Rodentia; Muridae.
UGGGCCUUUGUUUUUGAGAAAAUUAACCGCCC